GAUGAAGAACGCAGCGAAAUGCGAUACGUAAUGUGAAUUGCAAAUUCAGUGAAUCAUCGAGUCUUUGAACGCACAUUGCGCCCCCUGGUAUUCCGGGGGGCAUGCCUGUCCGAGCGUCAUUGCUGCCCUCAAGCACGGCUUGUGUGUUGGGCCCCGUCCUCCGAUCCCGGGGGACGGGCCCGAAAGGCAGCGGCGGCACCGCGUCCGGUCCUCGAGCGUAUGGGGCUUUGUCACCCGCUCUGUAGGCCCGGCCGGCGCUUGCCGAUCAACCCAAAUUUUUAUCCAGGUUGACCUCGGAUCAGGUAGGGAUACCCGCUGAACUUAAGCAUUUCAAUAAGCGGAGGA
RNAcentral lists this unclassified non-coding RNA (345 nucleotides) under soil metagenome. RNAcentral describes it as "partial contains 5.8S ribosomal RNA, internal transcribed spacer 2, and large subunit ribosomal RNA". The stretch from base 1 to 119 matches the Rfam family "5.8S ribosomal RNA", at positions 35 to 154 of the family's 154-position model. The record is from RNAcentral.